Molecule: long non-coding RNA, 1136 nt
Organism: Drosophila miranda
Lineage: Eukaryota; Metazoa; Arthropoda; Insecta; Diptera; Drosophilidae
Exons: 3
Source: RefSeq, a predicted model, not a curated record
AAGAUGGCCCACGCCGCUGCUGCUACUGAGCAUAUAUGACAAUGUAGAUUUUAAUGUGGUAUAGAGGGCAGUGCAAAUGACGAAUAAUAAUAGGGAUUUCAUUUACUGCUGCACUACUGGCUAUAAUCUAGAAACAAUGGCUUAUAUCAGAAUAGUAUGCGUUACCCAACACACAUAAACAUUUUGCUUAUCCAUACCAAAUCCAUCAAAAAACUAACAGGUGCUACUAUUGCUUCUUGUCGGAUAUGAGGCGUAAAUAAUUUGAUUUGACCAUGUUUUCAUGGUUACAAAAAUUACAAACACAUUCAUUUGGCACUGACUGUUGACAAUACCUUGUGAAUUGGAAACGGAACGGAUAUAUUGAAUUUGACCCCAAACAAAAUCGACUCUUCUUCGACAAAGAGGAAAUGGCCGUGAACAGCAAAGAAAAAUCUGACCAUAGGUCCUUGGCCUCAUCAUCUGGGUUAUAUACUUACAUGUAUGUAGAUACAUAUGUACUAUUAAGACUCCAGGCAUGUGGCGGCUGCCCCAUCUUCUUGUUUAACUGUUGCUUGGGUCACUGGUGUCACCCCACAUUACUUACUGCUUUCAAAUGUUAGCUUUAUAUAUAUGGCUCGUUUUAUACGCCUUGCGACUUACUUUGGACUAUGAUAACAAUGAAAGGUUAAGUGCAAAUAUACCUCUUAAACUAAAAAGACAACAUGACAGAAGUGAAAAGAGCCUAAAGAGCCUUAGGCCGAAAGAAUUCACAGAAUGUACAUACAUAUGUAUAUAUACUUUGCAAUACUUUCGGCUGAGAAGAACACUUUUGAUAUCAAUAUCCAUAAAAGCUGAGUCUAUUUAGACAUAUCCGAAUAUUUUUGUACACAAAGCUGUCUUUCUGUAAUUCAUAACAAUUACAAUCAGGCAGGCACCGUUUUUUAUUUACUUUUGCGGACUACGUUUUCAGCCAAAACGUUUCGUUUUCGUUUUAAGGUUCUCCAGUUUUCACCAAAACGAAAAUUUUUGUUGCCCUGGCCAAUUUUUUCCGAGCCAAAUUUGACGUUGGGGUAAAAUAAAAUUAUUUAUAAAGAAAGCUAAAGUUAAAUUACCCUGAUAUAUGUAGGUGUCAAGUUUAUGUUAAUGCACCAUCUAUU